CCGAGUUUACAACUCCCAAACCCCUGUGAACAUACCUAUAUGUUGCCUCGGCGGAUCAGCCCGCGCCCCGUAAAACGGGACGGCCCGCCGCAGGAUCCACAAACUCUGUUUUUAUUGUAACUUCUGAGUAACAAAACAAAUAAAUUCA
This 148-nucleotide unclassified non-coding RNA is filed under the name soil metagenome. RNAcentral describes it as "partial internal transcribed spacer 1". The record is from RNAcentral.